This 320-nucleotide ribosomal RNA is filed under the name uncultured eukaryote. Its description in RNAcentral is "partial 18S ribosomal RNA". It matches the Rfam family "Eukaryotic small subunit ribosomal RNA", at positions 1470 to 1796 of the family's 1831-position model. The record is from RNAcentral.
CCCCUAGAUGUUCUGGGCCGCACGCGCGCUACACUGAACAGUUCAACAAGUCUUAACCUUGGCCGAUAGGUCUGGGUAAUCUUUGAACGCUGUUCGUGAUUGGGAUAGACCUUUGCAAUUAUGGGUCUUCAACGAGGAAUUCCUAGUAAACGCAAGUCAUCAGCUUGCAUUGAUUACGUCCCUGCCCUUUGUACACACCGCCCGUCGCACCUACCGAUUGAAUGGUCCGGCGAAAUCUCGGGACGGCGGCUUGGUCGCUUGCGUCCGACUGCUGAAACUUGAUUAAACCAUAUCAUUCAGAGGAAGGUGAAGUCGUAACA